RNAcentral lists this ribosomal RNA (1395 nucleotides) under Peripsocus sp. B2049. Its description in RNAcentral is "SSU rRNA". It matches the Rfam family "Eukaryotic small subunit ribosomal RNA", at positions 321 to 1665 of the family's 1831-position model. Lineage: Eukaryota; Metazoa; Arthropoda; Insecta; Psocodea; Peripsocidae. The record is from RNAcentral.
UUCGAUGGUAGGUUCUGCGCCUACCACGGUUGUAACGGGUAACGGGGAAUCAGGGUUCGAUUCCGGAGAGGGAGCCUGAGAAACGGCUACCACAUCCAAGGAAGGCAGCAGGCGCGCAAAUUACCCACUCCCAGUACGGGGAGGUAGUGACGAAAAAUAACGAUGCAGAACUCAUUCCGAGGCUCUGCAAUCGGAAUGAGUACACUCUAAAUCAUUUAACGAGUAUCCAUUGGAGGAAAAGUCUGGUGCCAGCACCCGCGGUAAUUCCAGCUCCAAUAGCGUAUAUUAAAGUUGUUGCGGUUAAAAAGCUCGUAGUUGGAUCUGUGUUUCACGCUGUCGGUUCACCGUUUGGUCGGUGCCUAACUGACAUGUCGUGGUACGUCCUGCCGGUUGGUUAUGGUGGUUUGCAGCGAUGCGGGCGCCAUAACCAGUUCCAAUCCUUUCGCGGUGCUCUUCACCGAGUGUCGCGGCGGGCCGGCACGUUUACCUUGAACAAAUUUGAGUGCUUAAAGCAGGCUAUAUACGCCAGAAAACUGUGUGCAUGGAAUAAUAUAAUAGGAUCUCGGUUCUAUUUUGUUGGUUUUCAGAGUCCGAGGUAAUGAUUAAUAGGGACAGGCGGGGGCAUUAGUAUUGCGACGUUAGAGGUGAAAUUCUUGGAUCGUCGCAAGACUAACCUAAGCGAAAGCAUUUGCCAAGGAUGCUUCCAUUAAUCAAGAACGAAAGUUAGAGGUUCGAAGGCGAUCAGAUACCGCCCUAGUUCUAACCAUAAACGAUGCCAGCCAGCGAUCUGCCACAGUUCUUUUAUUAUGACUUGGCAGGCAGCUUCCGGGAAACUAAAGCAUUUGGGUUCCGGGGGAAGUAUGGUUGCAAAGCUGAAACUUAAAGGAAUUGACGGAAAGGCACCACCAGGAGUGGAGCCUGCGGCUUAAUUUGACUCAACACGGGAAAUCUCACCAGGCCAGAACACCAGGUGGAUUGACAGAUUGAGAGCUCUUUCUUGAUUUGGUGGGUGGUGGUGCAUGGCCGUUCUUAGUUGGUGGAGCGAUUUGUCUGGUUAAUUCCGAUAACGAACGAGACUCCAGCCUACUAACUAGACGUAAAUUUAUUCUGGUAUCUUUGCUACCAGCGGUAUAAUUUCUUCUUAGAGGGACAGGCGGCUUCUAGCCGCACGAGACGGAGCAAUAACAGGUCUGUAAUGCCCUUAGAUGUUCUGGGCCGCACGCGCGCUACACUGAAGGAAUCAACGUGUAUAUUUCCCUAGGCCGAAAGGUCCGGGUAACCCGUUGAACCUCCUUCGUGCUAGGGAUUGGGGCUUGCAAUUAUUCCCCAUGAACGAGGAAUUCCUAGUAAGUGCGAGUCAUAAGCUCGUGUUGAUUAAGUCCCUGCCUUUUGUGC